RNAcentral lists this transfer RNA (74 nucleotides) under Camelus bactrianus (Bactrian camel). It matches the Rfam family "tRNA". Rfam says of the family: Transfer RNA (tRNA) molecules are approximately 80 nucleotides in length. Their secondary structure includes four short double-helical elements and three loops (D, anti-codon, and T loops). Further hydrogen bonds mediate the characteristic L-shaped molecular structure. tRNAs have two regions of fundamental functional importance: the anti-codon, which is responsible for specific mRNA codon recognition, and the 3' end, to which the tRNAs corresponding amino acid is attached (by aminoacyl-tRNA synthetases). tRNAs cope with the degeneracy of the genetic code in two manners: having more than one tRNA (with a specific anti-codon) for a particular amino acid; and 'wobble' base-pairing, i.e. permitting non-standard base-pairing at the 3rd anti-codon position. RNAcentral also lists the same sequence under 3 other names. The record is from Rfam by way of RNAcentral. Lineage: Eukaryota; Metazoa; Chordata; Mammalia; Artiodactyla; Camelidae.
GAGGGUAUAGCUCAAGUGGUAGAUUACAGUGCUUAACAUGCACAAGGUCCUGGGUUCAAUCCCCAGUACCUCCA